UGCCGCCAAGAUGCCCCGGAUUAUGAU
This 27-nucleotide unclassified non-coding RNA is filed under the name Mus musculus (house mouse). RNAcentral describes it as "oocyte_clustered_small_RNA5263". Lineage: Eukaryota; Metazoa; Chordata; Mammalia; Rodentia; Muridae. The record is from RNAcentral.